Molecule: transfer RNA, 72 nt
Filed under: Candidatus Woesearchaeota archaeon
Lineage: Archaea; Nanobdellati; Candidatus Woesearchaeota
Description: tRNA-Gly
Rfam family: tRNA
About the family: Transfer RNA (tRNA) molecules are approximately 80 nucleotides in length. Their secondary structure includes four short double-helical elements and three loops (D, anti-codon, and T loops).
Source: RNAcentral
GCGCGAGUUGUUCAAUGGUUAGAAUGCUGGCCUUCCAAGCCGGUGAUCAGGGUUCGAGUCCCUGCUCGCGCA